AGUUUGCCUAAGAGGGAUAGCCCGCCGAAGGCGGAUUAAUACCCCAUGGUCCCGCAAGGGUAAAGGCGGCUCCGGCUGUCGCUGUGAGAUUGGCUCGCGUCCUAUCAGCUUGUUAGUAAGGUAACGGCUUACCAAGGCAACGACGGGUAGCUGGUCUGAGAGGACGAUCAGUCACACUGGAACUGAGACACGGUCCAGACACCUACGGGUGGCAGCAGUCGAGAAUACUUCACAAUGGGGGAAACCCUGAUGGUGCAACGCCGCGUGGAGGACGAAGGCCCUAGGGUCGUAAACUCCUGUCAUUUGAGAGUAAGACCUGGUCGUUAAUAGCGGACAGGGUUGAUAGUAUCAAAAGAGGAAGGGACGGCUAACUUCGUGCCAGCAGCCGCGGUAAUACGAAGGUCCCGAGCGUUGUUCGGAGUCACUGGGCGUAGAGGGAGCGUAGGCGGUUAGGUAAGUCAGAUGUGAAAUCCCGGGGCUCAACCCCGGAACUGCAUCCGAUACUGCCUGACUUGAGUAAUGGAGGGGUAACUGGAAUUCUCGGUGUAGCAGUGAAAUGCGUAGAGAUCGAGAGGAACACUCGUGGCGAAGGCGAGUUACUGGACAUUUACUGACGCUGAGGCUCGAAGGCUAGGGUAGCGAAAGGGAUUAGAUACCC
RNAcentral lists this ribosomal RNA (658 nucleotides) under uncultured cyanobacterium. Its description in RNAcentral is "bacterial SSU rRNA". It matches the Rfam family "Bacterial small subunit ribosomal RNA", at positions 123 to 787 of the family's 1533-position model. The record is from RNAcentral. Lineage: Bacteria; Bacillati; Cyanobacteriota.